This 278-nucleotide ribosomal RNA is filed under the name uncultured bacterium. RNAcentral's name for it is "partial 16S ribosomal RNA". It matches the Rfam family "Bacterial small subunit ribosomal RNA", at positions 333 to 607 of the family's 1533-position model. The record is from RNAcentral.
GACCACCUACGGGGGGCAGCAGUGAGGAAUAUUGGUCAAUGGGCGGGAGCCUGAACCAGCCAAGUCGCGUGAGGGAAGACGGUCCUAUGGAUUGUAAACCUCUUUAGGCGGGGAGCAAUGCCGGGCACGCGUGCCCGGAGGGAGAGUACCCGCAGAAUAAGCAUCGGUUAACUCCGUGCCAGCAGCCGCGGUAAUACGGAGGAUGCGAGCGUUAUCCGGAUUUAUUGGGUUUAAAGGGUGCGCAGGCGGGAGAUCAAAUCCGCGGGAAAAUGUCGGGG